GAAUAUUGCGCAAUGGGGGGAACCCUGACGCAGCAACGCCGCGUGAGUGAAGAAGGUCUUCGGAUCGUAAAACUCUGUCAUAGGGGAAGAAGGAAGUGACGGUACCCUAUGAGGAAGCCCCGGCUAACUACGUGCCAGCAGCCGCGGUAAUACGUAGGGGGCGAGCGUUGUCCGGAAUUACUGGGCGUAAAGGGUGCGUAGGCGGCCGAUUAAGUCAGAUGUGAAAUACCAUGGCUCAACCAUGGGGGUGCAUUUGAAACUGGUUGGCUUGAGUGCAGGAGAGGAAAGCGGAAUUCCUAGUGUAGCGGUGAAAUGCGUAGAGAUUAGGAGGAACACCAGUGGCGAAGGCGGUUUUCUGGACUGUAACUGACGCUGAGGCACGAAAGCGUGGGGAGCAAACA
This 401-nucleotide ribosomal RNA is filed under the name uncultured bacterium. RNAcentral's name for it is "bacterial SSU rRNA". It matches the Rfam family "Bacterial small subunit ribosomal RNA", at positions 359 to 774 of the family's 1533-position model. The record is from RNAcentral.